Non-coding RNA from Cinara cedri, 247 nucleotides. Lineage: Eukaryota; Metazoa; Arthropoda; Insecta; Hemiptera; Aphididae. The record is from the annotation of a GenBank genome assembly.
UCUCUCUCUCGUCAUCAGUCUCCCGGGGUACUCGUAACAGUCGCGGCCAUCUGUGUCUCGACGGUUCGGGCUACGGAAUGUCGAAACAUCGGCCGAUACGGAACGCCGAAACGGCGUACCCGACCCGUUGUACGCCCGCCAUGUACGCGCGAACGUUGCGGCCAACCAACGGGGGUUACGUUUUGCAAUCGCGAGUGUUGUCGUUCGACGACCGUUUCGUUUCUCACUAUGCUCCCGUAGUAUCCCG